Molecule: transfer RNA, 72 nt
Filed under: Populus tomentosa
Lineage: Eukaryota; Viridiplantae; Streptophyta; Magnoliopsida; Malpighiales; Salicaceae
Description: tRNA-Cys
Rfam family: tRNA (bases 6-69)
About the family: Transfer RNA (tRNA) molecules are approximately 80 nucleotides in length. Their secondary structure includes four short double-helical elements and three loops (D, anti-codon, and T loops). Further hydrogen bonds mediate the characteristic L-shaped molecular structure. tRNAs have two regions of fundamental functional importance: the anti-codon, which is responsible for specific mRNA codon recognition, and the 3' end, to which the tRNAs corresponding amino acid is attached (by aminoacyl-tRNA synthetases). tRNAs cope with the degeneracy of the genetic code in two manners: having more than one tRNA (with a specific anti-codon) for a particular amino acid; and 'wobble' base-pairing, i.e. permitting non-standard base-pairing at the 3rd anti-codon position.
Source: RNAcentral
UUGGCGACAUUGCCAAGUGGUAAGGCGGGGGACUGCAAACCUUUUUUCCCCAGUUCAAAUCCGGGUGUCAAA